GAGGAAGCUUCGCUACAGAAGGGAAGUUAUUAGACCACGCAGCAACAGGAGGAGUCCAAAGGGGAAUUUAGCUAACCUUAUGCUAAGUCAACAGGAACUAGAACAUUCUGCUUCCUGCCCUUUCUGAAAUUUCAUUUCCAUCCCACCAUAUUGACUGUGUAGGUUGAAACAGGAAGUAGCGAGACCUACUUCAGGCAGCAUCUUGUGAAAUCAAGUACCUUAGGCUUGCAAUGGACUAGAAGGGGACCAGAAGUCCGAUUACCUCUGAGAGAAUGCAGUAAAUCCUACCUACUCCUGUCAUCCCCUCACUUGAAGACCACAUGGAAUUUCUUCAUCUAGCAUUUGAUACCUUCUGACAGUAAAAGCAUGAUUUUUUCAAAGACACGGAAUACAAGUAAACAAUCCUUCUCCUUGCCUACAGAAUACGGUGCUCCAUUUUCACCAGCCUUUUGGCAGAAAAAUGAAACUCUGGGAAGACAAUCCAAGAAGGGAAAUAGCAAAAUGCUCUUCACCUUCUAACAUAUCUCCCUAAGGAAAGGCAGUAAAGAAAAUUUCUUAUCCACACUUCCACGGAUCUAUUUCAAGUGCUAUCAAUCCUCCCAACCCCACAAGUUGUGUCACAAUAUAUUUGUAUGGACAAAAGCCAAAAGAAAUUUACCAUUCACCAGCGAGAACUGAAGGAGAAGAGUUCUGGGAGCAGCUCAGAAGCACGAGAUGACAAUAGUUCUCUUCCAGCCCCACUGCUCUGCUGUAAAAAAGGAACUGAACCGUGGCCCUGGUUCCAGGGACAAUCAGUUAAUGUCAACCUCAAAUGCCAGAGAGGAGGAUAACCUGGCAUAAUGGCACAACACUACUGCCUGUCACAUGACAAUCACAGCACAGGAACUUGGCCUGAACCACCCAUAAACCAAAGAAUAUUCAGAACAGAUUGGCCGCGUUUCUGUAUUUUCUAUCUGGCCUUGUUCCAUGUCUAUUCCUGCGAUCUCAUCUCCAACCCUUACUUGUUGCAGAACACUCCAUUCCAAUUACCAAUUGCUUCUUUUGCUUUCCAUUCCAACUAUCAGCUUUGGAUCUUCAGGUGGAUUUUUUUGUUGUUGUUUGCUUGUUUGUUUUUAAUGUAGUGCAAUCAGUUUUCCUCUAUGAGCAUAUGAAAACAGUCCCCUUCAAAGCACGUUCAGUUGCCUCUCAGCACUGAUCACGAUUCAGAUGCCAACCGUAUUUCUACCAACUGAUACUUGAAGUGUUCUCAUAUAAUUCAGCACAAGUAUGUCAAAACCAAUAAGGCAGCUGCCAUGAGUAUAAGGUGCACUGAUUCAGGAAUAAGGUACUCUAAUUCAGGAAUGAAGACACCUAGCAUUGCCUUAUACACAUGUUCCUUAGAGAAAGAUUUUCCUUUUUUUUUUUUCCCCCUAGAACUCCAUAUCUUCAUAACGAAAUAAAUAUAAACCAAAACGUUUAAAAGGUCUUAUAAUCUCAAGGUAAUAGAAAAGAAUGAGUUAAUACAAAGAACUUGCUAAUGUGCAUUAACAUGUUUACUUGCAUGGCAAGUUCACAGAAAGGUAUUUCUGAAACAAACAAUAAUAAAAAAACACUUCAAUUAUGAAGUGUGGCAGAUGUACUUGGAUAAACCUGCCGGAAUUUCUUGAUAGUGCUGACAAGCAGAACUUAAUCAAUAUAUUGCCCAAUUUCUAUGAGGAAAAACAAACAAACAAACAAACGCAACAACAAUCCAGGCAGCAAAUAUUGAACUCAUGAAUUUCAUUUUAUCAACACAGUAAACAGCACAUGGAACAGUUGCCUCCUAUUCGAACAGUUUCAAGGUUUCUUUGGCAAGUUGUGAAGUAUAGGAGCAACCAACAUUAAUCCAGAUCACAUCAUUGGUAUGCAAAAUUCAGUAAUCCUCAUUAAAAAAAAAAAAAAAAAAACAACAACAAAAAAAAACUACUAGGAAAAAAAAAUGUACAAGUUUUCUGAGUCUCUGAAAUCAGACUGUUAUUUGAGCUGGUGUUCAAAAUAGUCUAAGUAUUUGCUUUCAAUUGAAAAGAAAAAUACCAUAUUAUAUUCAGAGAGAGAAAAAGAAGUUUCCAAGUUUACACAUUGACUAAUCAUUACCUUUUCAGAAACUUAGUUAAAACCAAAGGAACUUUUCUUUAAAGUAUUUAUCUACUUCUUUUUUUUCGCCACUGAUGACUAAAUACCAGACAGUUUGAUUGGUGACAGUUUCUAGUCACAAUAAUAAAUAUAUAAUGUUGUAUGUAUGUAUGUGUAAAUACAUAGUGUUGUAUGUAACGUAAAAAGAUGUUUU
Anas platyrhynchos (mallard) is the source of this 2305-nucleotide long non-coding RNA. RefSeq lists it as uncharacterized. The record is from RefSeq and is a predicted model, not a curated record. Lineage: Eukaryota; Metazoa; Chordata; Aves; Anseriformes; Anatidae.